This is a non-coding RNA of Bombyx mori (domestic silkworm), 78 nucleotides long. The record is from Rfam. NCBI's taxonomy places the organism in Eukaryota, Metazoa, Arthropoda, Insecta, Lepidoptera, Bombycidae.
UUAACUCUUUGUAUGCAGUUGGAACGUUUGCCUACGUUUGUCGCUAGGGGCGCUGUUCCAACUACAUACAAAGAGUUA